GGCGUCGCAGCCUUCCCUGACGUCAGCGCGCCGCGGCGGGCCCCGCCCCUCGCCUUCUUUAGGGCGGGGCUGGAUGGGCCUGGGUUGGUGCGACGCGAGGAAGGAUGUGCUCCUGGGCUGGCGGCUCGGAGCCGGUCGUUCUGCCACCUUCAGGCUCGCGGGACGUAGGCGGCUGAGUCUGUACUCAUCGGUGAGAAGAGCGCAGAACUGUGCAGGCGAAUACAGGAUGAUUUUUAGUGAGCUGGGAUGGAGAGACAUGGGACCUGCAUGGAGCAUUUGGUUUUGGAUUUCUAGAGGGAACUUCUUUAUGUCAGAGAGAAGAAUGAGAAGAGACAUUUCCCAGGAAUUUGAAGGAGCUACUCUACAGUAAAAGGUGAUUGGAUAUAUGUUCUUCAACUCUACUGAGGCGAGUAAGGAACAAGUUUUAAACAAUGGGAUAAAACCAAAAAACCGAGGUUGGCUCUGCUUUAUGGAAGAGGUACCUUAGUGGUGAAGAAGGGCCGUGCCAUAAGCCUUGGCCAAACUCUGAAUAACAUCUCCAUUGGUCUGACACUAAGGUCUGAAUGAUAAUCAUGUCUUCAGAGAGGCCCUGUUCAAAUGUGUCAAGUUACCUUGGUGAUAUGAUGCAUUAGCAGUUGGCAUAGAAUAGUUUACCAGAUUGGCUAGAUGCUGCCUACAUUGGAACCCUGGGCAAAAAGCACAGGCAGUUUAGUUUUGCUGGGAGUGAGAAAGAUUAUGGGAAUUUCCUGGCAUACAGUAUUUAUAAGGAAGAAGAAAUGAGGAGCUGAAUAAAGAGGUGAGAGACGGGAAAGGCGGCAGGAACACCUGGGGUCUUGCAGGCUCAGCAGACUGUAAACUCUUCAAGGACCAGAAAUGGAUCUGGUUCACUGUUAUACUUAGGUUAGUUAACAGUACCUGGGACAUAGGUGCACAACAAAGGUUUAUUGAACAGGUGAAAGAAUGUAUGUUCUCAGUGAGUGGGUGGUGUCUAUUCUCAAAGGAGAACGAGGGGAGCUUUCUAAACUAAAUUUAUAUACUUAACUAAGUUUGCCUAAGUCAGUCAGUUACUUACUUAACUAAGUUGGCCCUGCUAAAGAUUGUGGAAGGCUGUAGAAUUUCUUUCUAUAAGGUCUUUAAAAACAAGAUAGAUUCUUAUCUGUCUGGAAGGGUUCCUGUGAAAAACAGAAGAUGGAUCUGAGUAAUUAAAAUAACCUCUGGCCUUUUUCUUCCUUGGGCUUGUUUUUGUUUUUGUUUUUAAUUUCAAGAAAUGCAGUGUAAAAGUGCAUACUAUCACCGUCACGCGAGCAACAAUAACCAUUUGUUGAGAGUUUAGUGUAUGCCAGGCAAAGUGCUGAGUGUGUAAUCUAUGCACUGAUGAAUUGUUUGAUUUUUGGGAAUGCCUGUGGCUUUUACCAUGUAGCAACACAGUACUCCUGCAGAUGUCACUCUUUUCCUGCACAAUGCUACCCCUUGAGACCUUCACUGGAGCCUUACAAUGAGAUAGGGCUGAGAAAGAAGUGAUUUUAAAGUCAGUGUACCAAGGUUUAAAAAAAAAAAUCAGCAUUGUCUACAUUUGAAUCUAAGUUCCUAAAUAAGAAUCAGCCUUCCUAUUAGGAAGUUAUAUAUAAAAAAUUUUCUCAAAAUAGAAAACUCAGUGGUCAAGUUCACAUACUUUUUAAGUGGCUUUACCAUUUUACCUUCAUCUUUAGCAUAACAGAAUAUAAUUUUUGUCCUAUUUUCUUCAGGAACACUGAAACAAAGAAUGUUUUUGAAAGGCGAUCUUCCCCUCCCCUGUGUUUCAUUUUGUACCAUCCUCUUUAUCUCAUUUCUGACUUUUUCCCCUCUUUUGCUGGUGUGGUGUGACUACGCUUGGGGAAAUGGUCACAGCUGACAGGUUCCUGUGUGGAGGCACAAUUCAUCAGUCUUCUUUCCAUCUGGACCUCAGCUUUUCCUUCCAGCUUGUGGCCAUACCUGACCCCUAGUGUACAGCCCUUCAAAAACAUGCAGGUACAGGAUAGAAGAGGAAAAGCAGGAUUAAGAACAUGCCUAGAAAAAUAGCAAUUUCUUUAUUACUACCCUGUGGUAUUUACAAAAACAUGCUUCUAGGUUCACAUCACUCUCUUGAUGCUUCUGGGCAAAUGCACAAAACAUUUUUAGCUCUGCAUGUGGCUCUGGCGAGUCAGUGUUCAGUAUUCACAUUGAGUGACAGCAUCUCAUUUUCUGAUACACUCUUGAAACAUUGAGGGUGUCAUAUCUCAGAGGAAAAUUCUGUGGAAUAUUUCCCCCUUUCAUCAGAUCCCUUGGUGCAGCUCUAAGGCAGUGCUUCUUAGCAUGUGGUCUAUUGAUCAUUUGUAUCUGAUGGUCAUUUAAAAAAAAAAAAAAGCAAAAUCUUAGACCUACCUCUCUUCACAACUAUA
Long non-coding RNA from Felis catus (domestic cat), 2417 nucleotides. RefSeq lists it as uncharacterized. Lineage: Eukaryota; Metazoa; Chordata; Mammalia; Carnivora; Felidae. The record is from RefSeq and is a predicted model, not a curated record. The transcript has 3 exons.